RNAcentral lists this long non-coding RNA (329 nucleotides) under Oryza brachyantha (malo sina). RNAcentral's name for it is "long non-coding RNA (OBRA_LNC000935)". The record is from RNAcentral. Lineage: Eukaryota; Viridiplantae; Streptophyta; Magnoliopsida; Poales; Poaceae.
GCUUGCACCGAGACUCAACACACUAUUCUCAUUCAUUUUCAUUCAACUGCGCUUAAAUAACACUCAUACUCAACAAACACCCACGUACAAACCUAAAAAUCCGUUCUCAACUUACGAUAACGUCAGACAAACCACGCGACGCAACCUGGCGAUCCAAACUCCACUUAAAUCGAAACUCACAUGUCGAAGAAAACACAUAACUAACCAAGUAAAAGAUCACUAUCGAUCCGCGUAUCUUAUUGGACUACAAGCUCGGGCGACGAUAAUGAGCGACCACAUGUGAGUUUAUAAAUAAUAGAAAAGAUAUUCAUGUUAUUUAUUUUACCAGU